This 1876-nucleotide long non-coding RNA is filed under the name Centruroides sculpturatus (bark scorpion). RNAcentral's name for it is "uncharacterized LOC111629999". The record is from RNAcentral. Lineage: Eukaryota; Metazoa; Arthropoda; Arachnida; Scorpiones; Buthidae.
CAACAUGAUAAUUUUAAAACAUUGGUUUUCUUUCAGGUUUUGUCGGGGUGUAUCUGGCCGGUUACAUUUUAGAGACUUCGGAAAGUUGGAGUACUGUUUUCAAUUUGACCGCACUGUUGAAUGUUUUGGGAUGUCUGAGUUUUGUUAUAUUUGGCAUUGCCAAGCCGAUCGUUCCGGAAACAGAAGAUAAAGUACUGCACACAUGAACUUAACGGAGUCGGAUUCCGAACUCCGAAGACACGUUGAAAUUACAGAACGGAAAGAACGAAACGAUUUAAAUCUGGACUUUCCGAAAAUCCCACUUAGAAUUCGACCGGAGUGGGAACGACGAAAUUUCGACGGUUUUUUUUCUUUGUUUUUUUCCGACGUCAUUAGUUACGGAAAUUAUUUUAAAAGGUUUAGGCCGCGUGCAAAACCCGAAUUCGGACGGUCGUCCUUUAAGGUAUUGUUUUAUCGUUAUUAUGACGGAAAAAUAAAUCCGAACCCACAGUAGAAUGGAAAAAAAGGUAAACCCCAAACUUAUUUUUCACAAGGACUCGUCCCGUCCGCAACCGGAUAUUAAUUACAAAUAACACAUUACAAUAAUAAUAAUAAAUUACAAUACAAAUAAUGGAAAUGGCUUCGGAAUCGGCGGAUUUCACAGCCGUUUCGAUUAUAGAUAUUUGACCGGUGGCUAUCCAGUCAUCGAUAGCCACCGGCCAAGUCAAAGAAUUUAUUUUGUGGAACGUAUAAUCUUACCGACCGACGACGGCCGUCUCCGCACGUUAUUUACGGAAUACCAAAAGUACAUUUAAGAGCCACCUCCGAAUAUUUCGGAAAGUCACUAUUUUAUUCAUAUGUUUAUUUAACUAUUAUUGAUUUGUAUAUAUAUAUAUACGUUUAAUGUAAACGUCGGGAAAUGAUGGGGCCGUUUCGCGUCGAGAGAUUGGUCGAGACGCGAGCUUUUAAAUUAUAAACGGUGGGGGACCGGCGGGUCGAGCGCCCACUUCCCGGGAAUGGAGUUCGAAUACCCUUAAGAGUGGCUUCCGUGCCCAGACGAAAAAUAAAAAAAAUUAUUUCCGAAGAAACAAAUUACGGAUAAACGACUAUUUUCGGUAGCUUAAAUAAUUAAAUGGUAUUUUUAAUGGCCUCUCUCCGAUACUAAAUCGGUUCGGUCGAAGUUAUGUUUAAAAAUGCAUACAUUAAUUCUUCCGCAAAUUAGAAAACUUAAAUUUACCGGUACGGACCGAUUACUUCCUAAAGAAAAAUUCAAAUCUUGGCUAAGGGGUAUUUUAAAGUAGUUCGUCCUACACAUGUAUAGUACGUAAUAUUUUGCCACACGUUUUAAGAACGUAUAACCACUAAUUUAAGUAAAUAUCUAUUUAGAAGCUAAAAAAAUUGCCUGGUAAAAUCGCUCCCUGUUCGAAUAAUAAUAACUAGACGGCCUAAAGGACGGUUAUUUAUUAUUAGGUAGCGGUUAUUCUUACCAGGGACGCCGCGACGGCCGUAUAUUUUUGGCCGGGCUAAUCUCCCGGACUAAAUAUAAAUGGAAUGACCCUAUAAAUAAUCCGCACGUGCGAUCGUUGGUAUAAGGUGUUGGCAGAUUUUCUUACCCUUUUACGUUAUACGAAUAUCGCGCGUAAACCGGUGGCCAAACGUCGUCUCCGUCGAGUUUUUUCGUUUAAUUUAAAAAUAAGACGGAACGGUUAGGCAGGCGAUCGUAUUUUAAAUAUGAUGUCGGGCGACCGAAGGUUCUCGAGUAAUUGUACUUAUAUUUCUGUUGUAUAAUUUUCGUUGGAAAGAGAUGUACGGAAUAUUUCGUAAAUCCCUUGUACAGUUUCUAUAUAUACAUAUUAUAUUUGAAUAAGAAAUAAAAAUAUAUGGUUCCGACCCCGUC